UACAGAGGGUGCGAGCGUUGUCCGGAAUCACUGGCGUAAAGGGCGCGUAGGUGGUGGCUUAAGCGUGCGGUGAAAGCUCGGGCUCAACCCGAGUCGGCCGUGCGAACUGGGCUCACUGGAGCAUAGUAGAGGCAGGUGGAAUUCCUGGUGUAGCGUGGAAUGCGCAGAUAUCAGGAGGAACACCGGUGCGAAGCGGGUCUCUGGGCAGUAACUGACGCUGAGGAGCGAAAGCGUGGGGAGCGAACAGG
Molecule: ribosomal RNA, 248 nt
Filed under: uncultured bacterium
Lineage: Bacteria
Description: partial 16S ribosomal RNA
Rfam family: Bacterial small subunit ribosomal RNA
Source: RNAcentral